RNAcentral lists this ribosomal RNA (372 nucleotides) under uncultured organism. Its description in RNAcentral is "partial 16S ribosomal RNA". It matches the Rfam family "Bacterial small subunit ribosomal RNA", at positions 527 to 896 of the family's 1533-position model. The record is from RNAcentral.
GUAGGUGGCAAGCGUUGUCCGGAAUUAUUGGGCGUAAAGCGCGCGCAGGCGGUUCUUUAAGUCUGAUGUGAAAGCCCACGGGCUCAACCGUGGAGGGUCAUUGGAAACUGGAGAACUUGAGUACAGAAGAGGAAAGCGGAAUUCCACGUGUAGCGGUGAAAUGCGUAGAGAUGUGGAGGAACACCAGUGGCGAAGGCGGCUUUCUGGUCUGUAACUGACGCUGAGGCGCGAAAGCGUGGGGAGCAAACAGGAUUAGAUACCCUGGUAGUCCACGCCGUAAACGAUGAGUGCUAAGUGUUAGGGGGUUACCGCCCCUUAGUGCUGCAGCUAACGCAUUAAGCACUCCGCCUGGGGAGUACGGCCGCAAGGCUG